CUCAACAACCUUUGCUCGAAGAUACCACACUUCAAGACUUCAACCGAAGGAAUGAAAACGUUCCUUCUUACAACCACAAGGGACUAACACUUCCCUUCAAGUGUAUACAAACACUUAGCACUCAAGACAAGACUCUCUGUAAGAGUAGAUAUGAGUAAAGUAAAUACGCUCAAGAACACAACAACUUUCGUCAAGAGUUUGGCUAUCAAAAACUUAUCAAAUGAAUAGAAAAUGAUGAAUAUGAGAGUAUGCAAGCUUUAGC
RNAcentral lists this long non-coding RNA (262 nucleotides) under Nicotiana benthamiana. RNAcentral describes it as "long non-coding RNA (NBEN_LNC021726)". The record is from RNAcentral. Lineage: Eukaryota; Viridiplantae; Streptophyta; Magnoliopsida; Solanales; Solanaceae.